Long non-coding RNA from Polypterus senegalus (gray bichir), 521 nucleotides. RefSeq lists it as uncharacterized. The record is from RefSeq and is a predicted model, not a curated record. The transcript has 3 exons. Lineage: Eukaryota; Metazoa; Chordata; Cladistia; Polypteriformes; Polypteridae.
GCAUCCGAAUAGAUUUGGCGCCCGGGUCCUCUCCGAAAACAUCGCUAAGAUAACACUACGUUUGCACCCUGUUGAUUGUUUAGAAAACUGAAAAGUCAUUCUCUGUUUUCAUGCCACGCUGGGCUUAAACAAUGGUGCUCCUGAAUGAAAGAUUAUUAGCCAAGCCACAAGUAACAUUAAAUACUGUACCUGCUACGAACCAUGAGGAGCUGAAGUUGACUCUGACAGUAUCAUGCGUAAAGGAAAGAACCCACCCUUGAAACUCCAAGAAGCAAUUGACAUAACUUACCGGUCUUUGAUGGAGAAAAUCAGAGCAAAAACAAAGCAGGCAGGAGAGAAGACCAUGCAAACUCCACAGUGAUGGUGACAAACCCAUUCUUCUGCAAUCACUAUGCCACUCCUUUAGCUCAUUUUCGGAGCAUUAAUAAGGAAUAAUGGAGCUAAUAGCUACCAGUAUUUCCAGACACACAACAGUAACAGGCUACUGCUUCACCACCUGAGGCCACAGGUCCGCCACGCCC